UAACGAUGUCUACUAGUUGUCGGGUUUUAAUUAACUUGGUAACGCAGCUAACGCGUGAAGUAGACCGCCUGGGGAGUACGGUCGCAAGAUUAAAACUCAAAGGAAUUGACGGGGACCCGCACAAGCGGUGGAUGAUGUGGAUUAAUUCGAUGCAACGCGAAAAACCUUACCUACCCUUGACAUGUACGGAAGGCCGAAGAGAUUUGGCUGUGCUCGAAAGAGAACCGUAACACAGGUGCUGCAUGGCUGUCGUCAGCUCGUGUCGUGAGAUGUUGGGUUAAGUCCCGCAACGAGCGCAACCCUUGUCAUUAGUUGCUACGAAAGGGCACUCUAAUGAGACUGCCGGUGACAAACCGGAGGAAGGUGGGGAUGACGUCAAGUCCUCAUGGCCCUUAUGGGUAGGGCUUCACACGUCAUACAAUGGUACAUACAGAGCGCCGCCAACCCGCGAGGGGGAGCUAAUCGCAGAAAGUGUAUCGUAGUCCGGAUUGUAGUCUGCAACUCGACUACAUGAAGUUGGAAUCGCUAGUAAUCGCGGAUCAGCAUGUCGCGGUGAAUACGUUCCCGGGUCUUGUACACACCGCCCGUCACACCAUGGGAGCGGGUUUUACCAGAAGUAGGUAGCUUAACCGUAAGGAGGGCGCUUACCACGGUAGGAUUCGUGACUGGGGUGAAGUCGUAACAAGGUAGCCGUAUCGGAAGGUGC
This 706-nucleotide ribosomal RNA is filed under the name uncultured bacterium. RNAcentral describes it as "bacterial SSU rRNA". It matches the Rfam family "Bacterial small subunit ribosomal RNA", at positions 804 to 1515 of the family's 1533-position model. The record is from RNAcentral.